Molecule: non-coding RNA, 27 nt
Filed under: Mus musculus (house mouse)
Lineage: Eukaryota; Metazoa; Chordata; Mammalia; Rodentia; Muridae
Also listed under: 1 other name
Source: RNAcentral
UCUUGGAUGGCAAAUGGAAGAAACGUC